This 245-nucleotide long non-coding RNA is filed under the name Elaeis guineensis (African oil palm). RNAcentral's name for it is "long non-coding RNA (EGUI_LNC049407)". Lineage: Eukaryota; Viridiplantae; Streptophyta; Magnoliopsida; Arecales; Arecaceae. The record is from RNAcentral.
AUGUCUAAUAUUAAUAGUAGAAUGUCUACAUCAUAAGUGUAAUCAUGAUGAUAUCUUGGAAGGAUUCCAAGCAAUUGAUCGAUGGAAGUUGAGUAUACUGUAGAUGUAUAGGAUGCAUUCUGGUUCUAAUGUUAGUUGCAGAAUUGGAUAUCAUGCCAUCAGAUGCCAUGACACUAUACUAUAAAGACAAUGGCACCAUAGCCCUUCCUAAGGAACCUAGAUCUCACUAGAUAUCCAAUCACAUG